UACGAAGGGGGCUAGCGUUGUUCGGAAUUACUGGGCGUAAAGGGCGCGUAGGCGGACAGUUUAGUCAGAGGUGAAAGCCCAGGGCUCAACCUUGGAAAUGCCUUUGAUACUGGCUGUCUUGAGUUCGGGAGAGGUGAGUGGAAUGCCGAGUGUAGAGGUGAAAUUCGUAGAUAUUCGGCGGAACACCAGUGGCGAAGGCGACUCACUGGCCCGAUACUGACGCUGAGGCGCGAAAGCGUGGGGAGCAAACAGG
Molecule: ribosomal RNA, 253 nt
Filed under: uncultured bacterium
Lineage: Bacteria
Description: partial 16S ribosomal RNA
Rfam family: Bacterial small subunit ribosomal RNA
Source: RNAcentral